GGAGAAAUACGAGCAGGCAUAUUACAACUCACGUAUGUGAAUCACACAGCCAGACUGUGAGCAAUCCCUGCGCUCAAAGUAUCUUCUUAACAGAAGGGAGAAAGAGGGAGCCAGAAACCAGUCUUCAGUCCCUACCACUGAGAGCUCUCGUGCAUAUACUUGGCCAGGGUGUCAGAGGGCGUGGAUUCUGAAGGGACGAUUGUAGCCAGCAGAAGAGAUGCCUUUUCCUUAGCCCUGUAGAACGUCUCUGGAAACAAACCUGGAGCCCAGUGCUGUGCAGGGACUCCCUGGAGAAGCAAGGGCCUUGAAACUCGACAGAAGUGCCCCACUGCUCCACCAAGAGUUCUCUUCUCGCACACAUGCCCUUCUUACCGGGAGCCAGCCUGUGAUGUCUCUGUGCUGAACCCACUGUUUCCUUCUCCGGCAUCGCUAAGCUCUGGGCAUGUGGGUCGCAAGGAGAUGUUAAAAAUUCAGAAGUACAAUUUGAUCCAUUUGCACGCAACCUCCUGAAUGACUCUUAAUUACAUAAAAAUCUCUCUGCCCAAUGGCAAAAUGUAACAGAUGUUUGAACUGUUUACCCAGUUGUACUUGCCAUCUUUCUAAAGUAUAGAGCUAAGAAGGCCCUAACUCAAUACCCUGAGAAACAUGAGGCUCUUUUUCUGGUGUUACUGAGGUAGAUGGCAGUACCAGGGCAUUUUAUCCAAAGAGAAGUGGGUGGGACCAACUGAGUAGACCAGUGUAAUGUUUUGCACAUUUUCAAAGCAUUCAAUCCAGUAUUAGUCCUGCAACUCCUAUUGACAAGUGCUACAGCUGAAUCCCUGCGCACUUCCUUGAAAAUGUAGGGGAAAGUGUUGCUGGUCUCUAGACUCUUGAGGUACCAGAGUUCUCAUUUAAUACUGCAACUACAUACAUAAAGUUCAGCUUCCGAAGUUAAAUCCAAAUGGCAUUAAAACAUUACAAAAAAUUCUGCUGAGACAAACUGUCUUGCAAUAAAUGCUGAAUAUGCCAUCUGUGUUCUGAAUCA
Molecule: long non-coding RNA, 1024 nt
Filed under: Chrysemys picta bellii (western painted turtle)
Lineage: Eukaryota; Metazoa; Chordata; Testudines; Emydidae
Description: lncRNA (ENSCPBG00000004734.1)
Source: RNAcentral